UACAGAGGAGCCAAGCGUUGUCCGGAUUGACUGGGCGUAAAGCGCACGCAGGCGGUUGCGCGCGUGGGGUGUGAAAUCUGGCCGCUUAACGGCCAGGCGCCAUCCCAUACGGCGCGACUGGAGCGAUGCAGAGGUCGGUGGAAUUGCCGGUGUAGAGGUGAAAUUCGUAGAUAUCGGGAGGAACACCAGUGGCGAAGGCGGCGACCUGGGCCAAUAUUGACGCUGAGGUGCGAAAGCGUGGGGAGCAAACAGG
This 253-nucleotide ribosomal RNA is filed under the name uncultured bacterium. RNAcentral's name for it is "partial 16S ribosomal RNA". It matches the Rfam family "Bacterial small subunit ribosomal RNA", at positions 524 to 776 of the family's 1533-position model. The record is from RNAcentral.